RNAcentral lists this ribosomal RNA (253 nucleotides) under uncultured bacterium. RNAcentral describes it as "partial 16S ribosomal RNA". It matches the Rfam family "Bacterial small subunit ribosomal RNA", at positions 524 to 776 of the family's 1533-position model. The record is from RNAcentral.
GACGGACGGUGCAAGCGUUGCUCGGAAUCACUGGGCGUAAAGGGUGCGUAGGCGGCUUGGUGGGUCUGGUGUGAAAGCCCCGGGCUCAGCCCGGGAAGGGCGCUAGAAACUGCCGAGCUCGAGUGCCGGAGGGGAGAGUGGAAUUCCUGGUGUAGCGGUGAAAUGCGUAGAUAUCAGGAAGAACACCCGUGGCUAAGGCGGGUCUCUAGGACGGUACUGACGCUGAGACGCGAAAGCGUGGGGAGCGAACAGG